RNAcentral lists this ribosomal RNA (423 nucleotides) under Astroblepus ardiladuartei. RNAcentral describes it as "partial large subunit ribosomal RNA". It matches the Rfam family "Bacterial large subunit ribosomal RNA", at positions 1950 to 2530 of the family's 2925-position model. Lineage: Eukaryota; Metazoa; Chordata; Actinopteri; Siluriformes; Astroblepidae. The record is from RNAcentral.
GCAAAGGUAGCGCAAUCACUUGUCUUUUAAAUGAAGACCCGUAUGAAUGGUUAAACGAGGGCCUAACUGUCUCCCUGUUCUAGUCAAUGAAAUUGAUCUGCCCGUGCAGAAGCGGACAUAAAUAUACAAGACGAGAAGACCCUUUGGAGCUUAAGAUAAAAGACCAACUAUGUCAAUAACCCCUAUAGAGACUAAACUAAAUAACCACUGGUCCAAAUCUUCGGUUGGGGCGACCACGGGAAAAAACGAAACUCCCAUGUAGAAAGGGAAACACCCCUAAAACUAAGAGAGACAUCUCUAAGAAACAGAACUUCUGACUAUUAAGAUCCGGCCACAUGCCGACCAACGAACCAAGUUACCCAAGGGAUAACAGCGCAAUCCCCUUCCAGAGUCCAUAUCGACAAGGGGGUUUACGACCUCGAU